This 301-nucleotide ribosomal RNA is filed under the name uncultured bacterium. Its description in RNAcentral is "partial 16S ribosomal RNA". It matches the Rfam family "Bacterial small subunit ribosomal RNA", at positions 509 to 807 of the family's 1533-position model. The record is from RNAcentral.
CAGUCGCCGCGGGAAUACGUAGGGUGCAAGCGUUAAUCGGAAUUACUGGGCGUAAAGCGUGCGCAGGCGGUUAUAUAAGACAGAUGUGAAAUCCCCGGGCUCAACCUGGGAACUGCAUUUGUGACUGUAUAGCUAGAGUACGGCAGAGGGGGAUGGAAUUCCGCGUGUAGCAGUGAAAUGCGUAGAUAUGCGGAGGAACACCGAUGGCGAAGGCAAUCCCCUGGGCCUGUACUGACGCUCAUGCACGAAAGCGUGGGGAGCAAACAGGAUUAGAUACCCGUGUAGUUCCUGUCUCUUAUAC